GGAUGUGAGGGUGAUCUGGCUACGACGUCUGUCACCCCAUUAAUCGCUAGAGUUGAUUUGGCUGAUCUGGCUGGCUGGGCGGGUGUCCCCUUCCUCCCUCAACGCUCCAUGUGCAUCCCUCCCAAAGCUGCAUGCUCAGUGGAAGAGGACGACCACCCAGAUAGAGGAGGACCAUUCCUUGGUCAAGGGUAUACGAGUAGCUCCACUCCCCUGCUAGAACUUCCAAACAAGCUCUUGAUACGAGGUCUUGUUGAGUUGUCCUCGAACUUCUGAUCUUCCUGUCUCAGCCUCCCAAGUAUUUGGAGUUAUAGGCUUGUAACA
Molecule: small nuclear RNA, 321 nt
Filed under: Chinchilla lanigera (long-tailed chinchilla)
Lineage: Eukaryota; Metazoa; Chordata; Mammalia; Rodentia; Chinchillidae
Description: 7SK RNA (ENSCLAG00000021668.1)
Rfam family: 7SK RNA
About the family: 7SK was discovered as an abundant small nuclear RNA in the mid-70s but a possible function has only recently been suggested. Two independent studies have found that 7SK RNA binds the CDK9/cyclin T complex (known as elongation factor P-TEFb). P-TEFb activates transcription by phosphorylating the C-terminal domain of RNA polymerase II.
Source: RNAcentral